UACGGAGGGUGCAAGCGUUAUCCGGAUUUACUGGGUUUAAAGGGUGUGUAGGCGGACUUUUAAGUCAGGGGUGAAAUCCCGAGGCUCAACCUCGGAACUGCCUUUGAUACUAUUGGUCUUGAAUGUUGUUGAGGUGGGCGGAACGGGUCAUGUAGCGGUGAAAUGCUUAGAGAUGACAUAGAACACCAAUUGCGUAGGCAGCUUACUACACGAUCAUUGACGCUGAGGCACGAAAGCGUGGGGAGCAAACAGG
This 253-nucleotide ribosomal RNA is filed under the name uncultured bacterium. RNAcentral describes it as "partial 16S ribosomal RNA". It matches the Rfam family "Bacterial small subunit ribosomal RNA", at positions 524 to 776 of the family's 1533-position model. The record is from RNAcentral.